UGUCAGGCAGGGGAAGCUUCAAUAAGGCCUUCAUUCAUGACAGCUCCACUUGGCUUUUUGACGAGUCCCCAUUUAGAUGCAGCACGUCAGAGACUGAAGAGCAGGAUGAAGGCUGUAAGUACAGUUUGCUGUGGAUUAUGACUGUGUUUAAAUCUAAUAAUGGAUGAGACAAUUUACUUAAAGCAUGAUAUAGUUCAUAUUGCUCUUCAGGCUUCGUGAUAAAAUAUUAAAAUUAUGGAGUACAAAGUUGUACAUGCAAAGAAAACAAUGCAGAGCAGCAGAGCACCUGACCCAGAGGGUCUUCACAUAGAAUUCUACAAAGGCUAUUUUUUCCUGUUGGAUUAACAGCUUUGGUUGUCUUGCCCUUUAAAGAAAUUCUCACAAGAAAGAAGUUGCCUCUUACCAUGUCACAAGCAAUUAGUUUCACCCAAAAAGGAGGAGGACCCCUCUCUGCUCCCCGUGUUAAAAAACAAUACACCGCCUCACAGGCCAGAGCCACAGCCUUCUCCUCUCUGCUGGGUGGAAGAACAACUCUCACACAGUGGAAGUCCUCCAGACCCCCUGCCUUCAGACAAUAGGUUCCCUGGUUUUGGUCUACAUUCCUCGGUCCUCUGCUGUGGAGUCUACCUUCUGCUUCACCUCAUUCUGGAGUCGCCCAUCCAGUCAGCGGCCCAUGUCCCCCUGGUUCCCUGUU
This is a long non-coding RNA of Brienomyrus brachyistius, 694 nucleotides long. RefSeq lists it as uncharacterized. NCBI's taxonomy places the organism in Eukaryota, Metazoa, Chordata, Actinopteri, Osteoglossiformes, Mormyridae. The record is from RefSeq and is a predicted model, not a curated record. The transcript is spliced from 3 exons.